CUACCCUUGACAUGUACGGAAUUCCGCAGAGAUGUGGAAGUGCCCGAAAGGGAACCGUAACACAGGUGCUGCAUGGCUGUCGUCAGCUCGUGUCGUGAGAUGUUGGGUUAAGUCCCGCAACGAGCGCAACCCUUGCCAUUAGUUGCUACAUUCAGUUGGGCACUCUAGUGGGACCGCCGGUGACAAACCGGAGGAAGGUGGGGAUGACGUCAAGUCCUCAUGGCCCUUAUGGGUAGGGCUUCACACGUAAUACAAUGGUCGGUACAGAGGGCAGCCAACCCGCGAGGGGGAGCUAAUCCCAGAAAGCCGAUCGUAGUCCGGAUUGUAGUCUGCAACUCGACUGCAUGAAGCCGGAAUCGCUAGUAAUCGCGGAUCAGCAUGUCGCGGUGAAUACGUUCCC
Molecule: ribosomal RNA, 400 nt
Filed under: uncultured bacterium
Lineage: Bacteria
Description: bacterial SSU rRNA
Rfam family: Bacterial small subunit ribosomal RNA
Source: RNAcentral